GAUGAACGCUGGCGGCGUGCCUAAUACAUGCAAGUCGAGCGAACAGACGAGGAGCUUGCUCCUCUGACGUUAGCGGCGGACGGGUGAGUAACACGUGGAUAACCUACCUAUAAGACUGGGAUAACUUCGGGAAACCGGAGCUAAUACCGGAUAACAUGUUGAACCGCAUGGUUCAACAGUGAAAGACGGUUUUGCUGUCACUUAUAGAUGGAUCCGCGUCGCAUUAGCUAGUUGGUAAGGUAACGGCUUACCAAGGCAACGAUGCGUAGCCGACCUGAGAGGGUGAUCGGCCACACUGGAACUGAGACACGGUCCAGACUCCUACGGGAGGCAGCAGUAGGGAAUCUUCCGCAAUGGGCGAAAGCCUGACGGAGCAACGCCGCGUGAGUGAAGAAGGUCUUCGGAUCGUAAAACUCUGUUAUUAGGGAAGAACAAAUGUGUAAGUAACUAUGCACGUCUUGACGGUACCUAAUCAGAAAGCCACGGCUAACUACGUGC
RNAcentral lists this ribosomal RNA (498 nucleotides) under uncultured bacterium. RNAcentral describes it as "partial 16S ribosomal RNA". It matches the Rfam family "Bacterial small subunit ribosomal RNA", at positions 28 to 508 of the family's 1533-position model. The record is from RNAcentral.